Gadus macrocephalus (Pacific cod) is the source of this 2572-nucleotide long non-coding RNA. RefSeq lists it as uncharacterized. The transcript has 3 exons. NCBI's taxonomy places the organism in Eukaryota, Metazoa, Chordata, Actinopteri, Gadiformes, Gadidae. The record is from RefSeq and is a predicted model, not a curated record.
GACAUAACCAGGAUGACUUCAUGAAAAGUUAGCUCACGACAAAAUAGUACUGAUUAUUUACGUAUACAUGUUUCUAGUGACGACAGUUUCAUCUAAACAUUUUCAUUUGGAGGGGCAAAUUGGUAAUGUACCACGGUGUAAGACACUAUUAUUUUACGGCACUAAAAGCCUAUUCUAUAUGGUAUCUUACUGUGAAAUGCGCAAAGCAAUCAAGAUGUGUCGUACAUUUUACAACAGAAGACCAUACAAAUCGCCAACAUCAACAACACGUCACACGGUCACGACCGGUUUACAAAAGGCUGUCAUCGGUAGACUCCGGCUGGCUCUGGUCACGGCAGGCCCGUCAGCUGACUCCUAGUACCCCGGUAUACUGUCAAGCAGACUCCUAGUGCCCCGGUACACUGUCAAGCAGACUCCUAGUGCCCCGGUACACUGUCAAGCAGACUCCUAGUGCCCCGGUACACUGUCAGGCAGACUCAUAGUGCCCCGGUACACUGUCAAGCAGACUCCUAGUGCCCCGGUACACUGUCAGGCAGACUCCUAGUGCCCCGGUUCACUGGUGAACCCCUGCGCUUAACGCGUGAUACAGCAUGGGGUUAAACCCCCGUGGCUAACUACCGUCCAGUGAUGGAUUCAACGUGCAGCUUGCGACGUGCCUCCACUAGGCUCGAAGCCUGGUAAUCAAACUACUGCCCUGCUAGCGGCUAGCAGCCCGGUAACUAAGCUAGUGUCCUGCUAGCCGCUAGGCUAUCAGCCCGGCAAACACACUACUGCAAAGCUAGCCGCUAGGCUAUCAGACCGGUUACCAAGCUGGUGUCCUGCUAGCCGCUAAACAAAGCCGGUUACCGGCAAAGCCCGACGCAGGACGGUGGCAGCCCCGCUCCCUGAUGGAAAUCAUUUUAACACAUUUGAUACAAAUGGACAAAUAUAACGCGUCACUACGAACAACACCACUUCCCCGCGAAACCAGACCAUUCAGUGAUACUAUUUAACCGGGCUGACUGUUAAAAGCAAUGCACCCGGCAUGCUAAGUCGUUAGCAUAAUAGCUAGCGGAGUGUCCCCUCCCCUCCCCGGGCUUCACAUCACUCGAUCCCCAAUACCCAUCACCAGUUAGCACUAAUAAAAUGCAGCUGUCUUUUUUUAAUUAAAAGCCUUUAAACAUGAAAGCUAAAGGGUGCAAUGCGUCAGUGUUGAGCAGAAGGAUACUGAGGUGGCAGACCGGCGGCCGGCUGGGGAGCGACCGGAGCUCCCGGCGGUAGAGACACUGAGCGCCUAGCUUGCAUGCAUUGGGGCAAGCGUCGCAAAUGGUUGAAGCAGGCCCCAGAUCCCGUUGACGAACCAGGAUAACGAAUAGCGACCCAAAUGCCUUUUCAUGGAAAGUCGCUGUUCGGAUCAGCGGUGCUAUUCAUGGGGACGGUGGGAGGUUUGCCUCCCUUGCCCGUCCGGAACCUCCGUGGAUCCGUCCAGCUCAAUUCUUCAGAUGGGAGACUUCGUCAACAUGGCGUUGCGGCCGCUUCCAGCAGUCCGGGCAGGACAGAUGAUUCGGCACUUCUCGGGCAGCUACGUAUAUACUCGGCUUAUCGAAGGAGCCGGUCCGAGUAUUUUCCAUGACACCGAACCUGCGGUUUUGUCUUGAUUGUUUUAACAUACAAUAUUGUUUGGAGACUUCCACAAUUACAUUUGAACAAGCACAUCGUUUUCUUUAAUUUUUUCUAGAAAGUAUCAACCAAAUAAACCAUGUUAUGCAACAAUUCAACGCUGCCAAUUAUUAUACAUGAUUUAAAUGCAUUAAAGAAAAAAAAGCUAUCCAAAUUUUGUAUCGCAACAAGUUACUUGAAUAAAAUAUAUAAUAGGGUUAGUUGAAGAAAAAACGAUCCGAUUCGUGUACCUCUGGCGUCAUCUAGUGAAUAUUUUGCCAUAUUGCAUUUCGAGUUUACACUUGAGUAAGUGACCGUGUAUCAUGAUCCAAGUUGAGGCAAUAGAAGGGGGACUCUAAUGUUCAGAGAGAAGGCAACUUACCAGGUCUUCAUUUCCACCACGAUGCAGACAAGCAUGUCAAACGCCAGAUGGUUGUUUUAAGAUAAAAUUUAUUAGGCAAAAUAGAUCACAAUAAGGCAACAGGAAAAAGUACAGGACACAUACAUGCAUUAUAGCUUACUUAGCUAAAGUGUGAAAUGGACCAUAUAUAGCGUUAGUAUUAUAGCAUUGAAACAAUACACAUCACAUAACACUUUCACUAGUUUUAUUUUCCUGUGAGUUUUGAUGUCCUUGUAGAAUCAUCAUGACGGGGUCAAUAUAAUUUAUAAAAAAGGAGAAAUUUGCAUCUUCCGUAACAAAAUGUGACUAACAUGGGGUUUAAAAUUGGGUGUGUACAUAUAGCAGUACUGCAUCUUUCAAGGAAUCACAUCCCAUGGCUUCAUCUCAAGUGUCCUGUCCACAGUGUCAUCCCGUCUAUUUACAGUCAUUCAUUAAUCAAGCUAAAAAAACCAUAGAAAAGUUAAAACAAAAACCAAGGACUUAAAAAGGCAUUCAAAUGAGUGGUUCUCCCAUUCAUUAUCCGUUGGCUUGCUU